UACGAAGGUCCCAAGCGUUAUCCGGAUUUAUUGGGUUUAAAGGGUGCGUAGGCGGGCUAUUAAGUCAGUGGUGAAAUCUCCGAGCCUAACUCGGAAAUUGCCAUUGAUACUGAUGGUCUUGAGUACAUUUGAAGUGGGCGGAAUGUGUCAUGUAGCGGUGAAAUGCUUAGAUAUGACACAGAACACCGAUUGCGUAGGCAGCUCCCUAAACUGUAACUGACGCUGAGGCACGAAAGCGUGGGGAGCAAACAGG
RNAcentral lists this ribosomal RNA (253 nucleotides) under uncultured bacterium. RNAcentral describes it as "partial 16S ribosomal RNA". It matches the Rfam family "Bacterial small subunit ribosomal RNA", at positions 524 to 776 of the family's 1533-position model. The record is from RNAcentral.